RNAcentral lists this ribosomal RNA (101 nucleotides) under uncultured Aspergillus. RNAcentral's name for it is "partial large subunit ribosomal RNA". The record is from RNAcentral. Lineage: Eukaryota; Fungi; Ascomycota; Eurotiomycetes; Eurotiales; Aspergillaceae.
GGGGCCAGCGUCGGUUUGGGCGGCCGGUCAAAGGCCCCUGGAAUGUAGUACCCUCCGGGGUACCUUAUAGCCAGGGGUGCAAUGCGGCCAGCCUGGACCGA